Molecule: long non-coding RNA, 589 nt
Organism: Mus caroli (Ryukyu mouse)
Lineage: Eukaryota; Metazoa; Chordata; Mammalia; Rodentia; Muridae
Source: RefSeq, a predicted model, not a curated record
AGACUGUUCCCUAUGCCAAUUGCUCUGUUCACUUCUCUGACAAGGUUUCUCUUCUCACUGCUGGAUCUGCUGCCUUGUACAGUACCUGGCAAACAGCAAGACCCUGAGCAAUGUUUCUUCAGGCUCGUGUGUUGAACACUUGGUCAGCAGCUGGUGGUCCUGUUCCAAGCGAUUCUGGAAACUUUAGGAGCCUAAGAUAAAGAACCUUCUCCGCCACCCACUCCUGCCACCUGAGGCUAUGCCUAACGGCAAAGGGCCAGGAAACUCCAAACACUAAACAGCUAAUCUUCCUUCCCCUGAAGAACCUAACACAGUCCACAAUGGGGAGAGAAGAACUCCCCUCUCCCUACCUCCAGUUUAACUCUCCAGACAAUGCGAAUGAACAGGUAAAAAUUCACUGAUAAAAUCUGUCUGUGCCUUCAUAAGUUAGAAAUCCAAACUGAGCAGACCUACAAUUCCAGAAUUUGUGACACUGAGGCAGGAGAGACACUAGUUCAAGUCUAGCCUGACCCACACAGCAAUGCCCUAUCUCAGAAAACAGAAACACACAAAAAGGUGGAAACUACCCGGAGUCCCACAUCCACGGAUC